Non-coding RNA from Sus scrofa (pig), 896 nucleotides. The record is from RefSeq and is a predicted model, not a curated record. Lineage: Eukaryota; Metazoa; Chordata; Mammalia; Artiodactyla; Suidae.
UGUAUCUUAUAAACAUUUUUCAUCUGUGUUUCUAUAGAAUGAGUUCUUGCCAUUGUUCAGCCAGUUAGGAACAAAGAAGGAAGGACAGUAACAAGGAAGGAAGGGGUUGAAUGCUGUUAUUCGUGGUAGGCAGUGUUAGUUCCCUUCUCAAUAUCCUUUCUCCCUUUCUUCCUAAUUAAGAGAAGUCAGUUAAAUGUUCUCAGGUAAAAUUACUUUCCCAGCUGCCCUUGAAAUUAGGAAUGGCCAUGUGACUCCGUUCUGGCUAAUGAAACAGCAGAAAUCAUAAGGUGGUGCUUUAGAAAACUUUGUGGAGGAAGAAGCUUCCCGGGCACUUGUCUUUGCAUCUGUUCUUUCCCCUCCGGGGUCGAGCAGCACCUCUUGCAGCCAGGAGAACAAAGUCAUGUGCCAAGAAAGGAAGAGAAGGAAAGAGAAGGAACUUGGCCCAUGAACAGCCCUACGAGCCCUGGGCUGUCCUGUCUGUUAUGUUUGGCUGCUGUUAGUUCCUGAAGGAUUAGCCUGUUGGAAACCAUCAGCAAGGAAAUGCCUCUGCCCACUCUGCCUGCUGUGAGAACUUCUUAUUGAAAGGUCUUCUUGGAAAUCAGAAGAUCUGGCAACACUGGACAUGCAUUCCAUCAUGGUAACUUCUGGAGCUGAGUUGUAGUUGCGCCUGGGCUGUGCUCCAUAGUUCCUUAUGGCCUCCUAAGAGAAAGGCCUCAAUUAUGACCCAGGAAAUCAGUCUCUGGACUAAAUGGGAGUAAACAGCAGGUAGCAAACAAACAAGACACAUCAUGCUUUUGCUUGGACUUCUUCGGAUCAGCGGUUUCUUCUUUCGGAGUUCUGGUGAGGUAUGUUCUAAGUUUUCAGAAUGCCCACUUACGCUCUAAGUCAGAAAUUUC